Planococcus citri (citrus mealybug) is the source of this 1322-nucleotide long non-coding RNA. RefSeq lists it as uncharacterized. The record is from RefSeq and is a predicted model, not a curated record. The transcript is spliced from 4 exons. Lineage: Eukaryota; Metazoa; Arthropoda; Insecta; Hemiptera; Pseudococcidae.
UUAUUUUUGAAUUUUAUUUUCCAUUUCCAUCACUUAUGUAUUUUCCGCUUUCCCUGGCAUAAAUUUUAAAUUUUCAAUAAAAUUUUACAACACUCAUGCAACUGGGUAAGAUAUUUUCGUAGUUAGUUUUUGAUUUUGUUUGUAAGAUAUCAUCAUCCAUGGUUGUGGUUGUUUUGUAACGUUUCAAACAUAGUAUAAAUACGUAAUAUUAAUGUCUAAUCUGUCUAUGGCUUCAAUUUUCUGAAUCUUCUUCAUGAAUAAUAAUUGCAGUGAUUAUAUUUCGAAAGGUUGCGUAACAAUUUUCGUUACUCGAUUCCCUCGCUGAGAUUGGUGUUUCAAUUCCCUCUGCUCUUACUUCGUAGCAUCGCCAGAAGUCUGUUCUGCAACACUGCAACUGCUUAAAGUGCUAUAGUUCUGCUGUCAUCGAAAUCUUUUUAAAAUGGUUGGCGUAACACAAGAGAAUAUAAAAUCUGAAGUUACAGGAUCACCUGCGGAAGUUGAUAGACUGAAAGCGGACAUCGAUAGAUUGAAAGAAGAGAUUAUCGAAUCGAAUAAACAGAUCGUUCAUUUGAAAGCAGAUUUGAGGGUCACUAAUGGACUUCUCUCGAAUACACAGAAACUGCUUUCGAAGACGAGUGCAGAAAAUGGACAACUUUCAGCAAAAAUGGAGCACACUAAGGCGUGUGCUGAGCUCUCCGAAUUUCUGUUAUACCUGAAAGAACAGAUCUUCAUGUUCGAGACGCACUACUGUGCUAUGAAUUUUCCGACUGAAGAUUCAUUCGUCGCUUCUGUACAGAAAAUCGAACCUGCUAUUGAGAUUUCAGAUAUUACCGAAGGUGUUCAUUUCCGAAAAUGGUUAUGGUUUAUGGUUGCUGGCGGCGAUCAUUUGUGUAUGGGAUUAAGCGAUAUUAGAUCAGCUCUGAAUAAUGAUCCGAAACAAUACGUUUGGUUUGCCACCCAGAUGGAAACCUUGUUUUCAGUGUUGAGUGACGACGUUCGUGGUAUAUCACCACUCCAAAUUCGCCACAUGACAAAAGCAAACUUUCCCAAUUACGUAACAAUUUUUAAUCAAAAUGUUCGCGUUGCGGUUACCUAUUUUUGGGAUUAUUUAAUUAACUUAGAUUGAACAGUAUGCUGCUGGUGUUACAAUGAUUACUUACGUUAUAGAUAUACGUUUCCGAAAAAUAUGAGUCUUUUUAUUCCUUAUUUUAGACUAACUUCAUCUUUUAUUUUUGUACAUCGGUGUAACGUGCACGUGCUCAAGUUUCUGUUGAUAUUGUAGAAUCAAUGAAUAUUAUAAAUGCAUUGUUACAAAGUUCUAA